UGGUAAUUAGUUUAAACUAAAACAAAUGAUUUCGACUCAUUUAACUAUGGUCCACCCAUAAUUACUAA
Molecule: transfer RNA, 68 nt
Filed under: Daubentonia madagascariensis (aye-aye)
Lineage: Eukaryota; Metazoa; Chordata; Mammalia; Primates; Daubentoniidae
Description: transfer RNA-Arg
Rfam family: tRNA
About the family: Transfer RNA (tRNA) molecules are approximately 80 nucleotides in length. Their secondary structure includes four short double-helical elements and three loops (D, anti-codon, and T loops). Further hydrogen bonds mediate the characteristic L-shaped molecular structure. tRNAs have two regions of fundamental functional importance: the anti-codon, which is responsible for specific mRNA codon recognition, and the 3' end, to which the tRNAs corresponding amino acid is attached (by aminoacyl-tRNA synthetases). tRNAs cope with the degeneracy of the genetic code in two manners: having more than one tRNA (with a specific anti-codon) for a particular amino acid; and 'wobble' base-pairing, i.e. permitting non-standard base-pairing at the 3rd anti-codon position.
Source: RNAcentral